GGCGUAACGCGUGGGAAUCUGCCCUCUGGUACGGAAUAACUCAGGGAAACUUGAGCUAAUACCGUAUAAUGACUUCGGUCCAAAGAUUUAUCGCCUGAGGAUGAGCCCGCGUAGGAUUAGCUUGUUGGUGAGGUAAAAGCUCACCAAGGCGACGAUCCUUAGCUGGUCUGAGAGGAUGAUCAGCCACACUGGGACUGAGACACGGCCCAGACUCCUACGGGAGGCAGCAGUGGGGAAUAUUGGACAAUGGGCGAAAGCCUGAUCCAGCAAUGCCGCGUGAGUGAUGAAGGCCUUAGGGUUGUAA
RNAcentral lists this ribosomal RNA (304 nucleotides) under uncultured Sphingomonas sp. RNAcentral's name for it is "bacterial SSU rRNA". It matches the Rfam family "Bacterial small subunit ribosomal RNA", at positions 107 to 428 of the family's 1533-position model. The record is from RNAcentral. Lineage: Bacteria; Pseudomonadati; Pseudomonadota; Alphaproteobacteria; Sphingomonadales; Sphingomonadaceae.